This 459-nucleotide ribosomal RNA is filed under the name uncultured bacterium. RNAcentral describes it as "partial 16S ribosomal RNA". It matches the Rfam family "Bacterial small subunit ribosomal RNA", at positions 338 to 795 of the family's 1533-position model. The record is from RNAcentral.
CCUACGGGGUGCAGCAGUGAGGAAUAUUGGUCAAUGGGCGGGAGCCUGAACCAGCCAAGCCGCGUGAGGGAAGAAGGUACAGCGUAUCGUAAACCUCUUUUGUCAGGGAACAAAGGCGGGGACUAGUCCCCGGAUGAGGGUACCUGAAGAAAAAGCAUCGGCUAACUCCGUGCCAGCAGCCGCGGUAAUACGGAGGAUGCGAGCGUUAUCCGGAUUUAUUGGGUUAAAAGGGUGCGCAGGCGGCCUGUUAAGUCAGCGGGAAAAGCCCGGGGCUCAACCCCGGCGAGCCGUUGAAACUGGCGGGCUGGAGUUGGAGAGAAGUACGCGGAAUGCGCGGUGUAGCGGUGAAAUGCUUAGAUAUCGCGCAGAACCCCGAUUGCGAAGGCAGCGUACCGGCUCCACACUGACGCUGAGGCACGAAAGCGUGGGUAUCGAACAGGAUUAGAUACCCUAGUAGUC